Molecule: ribosomal RNA, 305 nt
Filed under: Escherichia coli
Lineage: Bacteria; Pseudomonadati; Pseudomonadota; Gammaproteobacteria; Enterobacterales; Enterobacteriaceae
Description: partial 16S ribosomal RNA
Rfam family: Bacterial small subunit ribosomal RNA
Source: RNAcentral
AAAUUGAAGAGUUUGAUCAUGGCUCAGAUUGAACGCUGGCGGCAGGCCUAACACAUGCAAGUCGAACGGUAACAGGAAGCAGCUUGCUGCUUCGCUGACGAGUGGCGGACGGGUGAGUAAUGUCUGGGAAACUGCCUGAUGGAGGGGGAUAACUACUGGAAACGGUAGCUAAUACCGCAUAACGUCGCAAGACCAAAGGGGGGGGACCUUCGGGCCUCUUGCCAUCGGAUGUGCCCAGAUGGGAUUAGCUUGUUGGUGGGGUAACGGCUCACCAAGGCGACGAUCCCUAGCUGGUCUGAGAGGAU